This 236-nucleotide long non-coding RNA is filed under the name Malus domestica (apple). Its description in RNAcentral is "long non-coding RNA (MDOM_LNC018223)". Lineage: Eukaryota; Viridiplantae; Streptophyta; Magnoliopsida; Rosales; Rosaceae. The record is from RNAcentral.
GCUUGGGCAUAGGCACGGCACAAGAUGUUCCUUCUCCUUCCUUCCUUGCAAUAGUCAUGGCAUAAGAGAUUUAGAACAGGUUUUGGGUGGUUUUUAUGGUGUAGAAUGGAUGGGGAAUGGUAUGGAAAGGUUUAGGGUUGAUGGGUGGUGUGGCUAAGGGUGGUGUUUGGCUGAAUUUUUAGAGAAUGGUGAUGGAGAGGUGCGGCUAAGGUAAGGGAUCAAAAUCUGUUCUCUUU